Molecule: small nuclear RNA, 168 nt
Gene: U4
Rfam family: U4 spliceosomal RNA
About the family: U4 small nuclear RNA (U4 snRNA) is a component of the major U2-dependent spliceosome. The structure of U4 snRNA from yeast and human has been reported. U4 snRNA presents a k-turn RNA motif in the 5p-SL related to recognition of Snu13 protein.
Source: Ensembl
AGCUUUGCACCGUGGCAGUAUCGUAGCCAAUGAGGUUGAUCCGAGGCGCGAUUAUUGCUAAUUGAAAACAUUCUUAGGUUGUGAGCAAGAUGCCUGCAGCAGCUCCCGAUAUGGCAGUGUCCAGGGGACCAAGAAAGGGCUGUCUCGCUUUGUGCCUCCUUCUUAGGA